CCUACGGGGUGCAGCAGUGAGGAAUAUUGGUCAAUGGCCGUAAGGCUGAACCAGCCAAGUCGCGUGAAGGAAGAAGGAUCUAUGGUUUGUAAACUUCUUUUAUAAAGGAAUAAAGUGAGGCACGUGUGCCUUUUUGUAUGUACUUUAUGAAUAAGGAUCGGCUAACUCCGUGCCAGCAGCCGCGGUAAUACGGAGGAUCCGAGCGUUAUCCGGAUUUAUUGGGUUUAAAGGGAGCGUAGAUGGGUUGUUAAGUCAGUUGUGAAAGUUUGCGGCUUAACCGUAAAAUUGCAAUUGAUACUGGCAGCCUUGAGUACAGUUGAGGUAGGCGGAAUUCGUGGUGUAGCGGUGAAAUGCUUAGAUAUCACGAAGAACUCCGAUUGCGAAGGCAGCUUACUAAACUGCCACUGACAUUGAUGCUCGAAAGUGUGGGUAUCAAACAGGAUUAGAUACCCUUGUAGUC
Molecule: ribosomal RNA, 460 nt
Filed under: uncultured bacterium
Lineage: Bacteria
Description: partial 16S ribosomal RNA
Rfam family: Bacterial small subunit ribosomal RNA
Source: RNAcentral